GCGCGAAAACUCUGCAAUGCACGCAAGUGUGACAGGGGGAUACUCAGUGCUUACGCUUAUGGUGUAGGCUUUUGUUGAGUGUAGAUAGCUCAGCGAAUAAGUGGUGGGCAAGACCGGUGCCAGCCGCCGCGGUAACACCGGCGCCACGAGUGGUCAUCACGAUUAUUGGGCCUAAAGCGUCCGUAGCCUGUCUAGUGCAUCCCUUGUGAAAUCGUCCGGCUUAACCGGACGGCGUGCAGGGGACACGGCUAGACUCGAGACCGGGAGGCGUGCGAGGUAUUCCAUGGGGAACGGUAAAAUGUGAUAAUCCAUGGAGGACCACCGAUGGCGAAGGCAUCGCACGAGAACGGCUCUGACGGUGAGGGACGAAAGCCAGGGGAGCGAACCGG
RNAcentral lists this ribosomal RNA (389 nucleotides) under uncultured euryarchaeote. RNAcentral describes it as "bacterial SSU rRNA". It matches the Rfam family "Archaeal small subunit ribosomal RNA", at positions 339 to 727 of the family's 1478-position model. Lineage: Archaea; Methanobacteriati; Methanobacteriota. The record is from RNAcentral.